CAGAAUGAUUAUAAACGGGAGAAGGUGCAGCAGAUUGGCCAGCAAAAGACGUUGCAAAUGGCCGUGAUGUGGACUCCGGAA
Molecule: small nucleolar RNA, 81 nt
Organism: Papaver somniferum (opium poppy)
Lineage: Eukaryota; Viridiplantae; Streptophyta; Magnoliopsida; Ranunculales; Papaveraceae
Source: RefSeq, a predicted model, not a curated record